Molecule: long non-coding RNA, 135 nt
Organism: Anneissia japonica
Lineage: Eukaryota; Metazoa; Echinodermata; Crinoidea; Comatulida; Comatulidae
Exons: 2
Source: RefSeq, a predicted model, not a curated record
AGGGUGUUUAGUAAUACAGAAACAUUAUGUUGUGAAUAUAAGUAUUAUUGUGAGACCUGCUGUAGUAAGCAAGAAGCACAAAAAAGGAUGCAGAUUAAGAAAUUACCACAGAUUUUAGCACUGCAUUUGAAGAGG